AAUACGGAGGGUGCGAGCGUUGUCCGGAAUUACUGGGCGUAAAGCGCGGGCAGGCGGCCUGUUAUGUCGAGUGUGAAAUCCCACGGCUCAACCGUGGAACUGCGCUCGAAACUGGCAGGCUUGAGUGCGGGAGGGGAUGGUGGAAUUCCCGGUGUAGAGGUGAAAUGCGUAGAUAUCGGGAGGAACACCGGUGGCGAAGGCGGCCACCUGGACCGAGACUGACGCUGAGGGACGAAAGCGUGGGGAGCAAACAGGAUUAGAGACCCCGGUAGUCCUAGCCGUAAACGAUGCGAACUGGGCGUGGGUGGAUUGAAACCCAUCCGUGCCGAAGCUAACGCGAUAAGUUCGCCGCCUGGGGACUACGGCCGCAAGGUU
RNAcentral lists this ribosomal RNA (375 nucleotides) under uncultured Bacteroidota bacterium. RNAcentral's name for it is "bacterial SSU rRNA". It matches the Rfam family "Bacterial small subunit ribosomal RNA", at positions 522 to 895 of the family's 1533-position model. Lineage: Bacteria; Pseudomonadati; Bacteroidota. The record is from RNAcentral.